GACGAACGCUGGCGGCGUGCUUAACACAUGCGAGUCGAACGGAAAGGCCCUGCUUUUGUGGGGUGCUCGAGUGGCGAACGGGUGAGUAACACGUUAGUAACCUGCCCUUGACUUUGGGAUAACUUCAGGAAACUGGGGCUAAUACCGGAUAGGAGCUCCUGCUGCAUGGUGGGGGUUGGAAAGUUUCGGCGGUUGGGGAUGGACUCGCGGCUUAUCAGCUUGUUGGUGGGGUAGUGGCUUACCAAGGCUUUGACGGGUAGCCGGCCUGAGAGUGUGACCGGCAACAUUGGGACUGAGAUACGGCCCAGAAUCCUAAGGGAGGCAGCAGUGGGGAAUAUUGCACAAUGGGCGGAAGCCUGAUGCAGCAACGCCGCGUGCGGGAUGACGGCCUUCGGGUUGUAAACCGCUUUCGCCUGUGACGAAGCGUGAGUGACGGUAAUGGGUAAAGAAGCACCGGCUAACUACGUG
RNAcentral lists this ribosomal RNA (468 nucleotides) under uncultured bacterium. Its description in RNAcentral is "partial 16S ribosomal RNA". It matches the Rfam family "Bacterial small subunit ribosomal RNA", at positions 28 to 507 of the family's 1533-position model. The record is from RNAcentral.